CCUCCAGUCAGUUGUCUCCCCUCCCCUCUAUCCCUCCAGUCAGUUGUCUCUCCCUCUCCCCUCUAUCCCUCCAGUCAGUUGUCUCCCCCUCCCCUCUAUCCCUCCAGUCAGUUGUCUCUCCCUCUCCCUCUAUCCCUCCAGUCAGUUGUCUCCCCCUCCCCUCUAUCCCUCCAGUCAGUUGUCUCUCUCUCUCCCCUCUAUCCCUCCAGUCAGUUGUGUCCCUCCCCCUCCCUCCCUCUAUCCCUCCAGUCAGUUGUCUCUCCCUCUCCCCUCUAUCCCUCCAGUCAGUUGUCUCCCCCCCCCCCUCUGUCCCUCCAGUCAGUUGUCCUCCCCCUCCCCUCUAUCCCUCCAGUCAGUUGUCUCUCCCUCUCUCCCUCUAUCCCUCCAGUCAGUUGUCUCCCCCUCUCCCCUCUAUCCCUCCAGUCAGUUGUCUCUCCCUCUCCCCUCUAUCCCUCCAGUCAGUUGUCUCUCCCUCUCCCCUCUAUCCCUCCAGUCAGUUGUCUCCCCCUCUCCCCUCUAUCCCUCUAGUCAGUUGUCUCUCCCUCUCACUUGUAUCCUAUUUGUAUCAGAUUAGCCUUCCCAUCUAGCCUGCUCCCAGAUAUGUCUGAGCUCCAUUGCUGUUCAAGCCAAAGUGUCAAUGAGACACAGGGAGCUGGGCAUGAUAACACAAACAGACUGGCAGUCAGGCUACUUCCCACCUGUCUAUGUAUCCCAGUCUCACCCAGGUCUCCACAAGUCUCCCCCAGUCUCUCUCACAAGUCUCUCCCAGUCUCUCUCCCAAGUCUCUCCCAGUCUCUCUCCCAAGUCUCCCCAUGUCUCUCGCCCAAGUAUCCACCAGUCUCUCUCCCAAGUCUCCCCCAGUCUCUCUCCCAAGUCUCCCCCAGUCUCUCUCCCAAGUCUCUCCCAAUCUCUUUCCCAAGUCUCCCCUAGUCUCUCUCCCAGUCUCUCUCCCAGUCUCUCUCCCAGUCUCUCUCCCAGUCUCUCUGCCAAAUCUCCCCCAGUCUCUCUGCCAAGUCUCCCCCAGUCUCUCUCCAAUCUCUCUCCCAGUCUCUCUGCCAAGUCUCCCCCAGUCUCUCUCCCAAGUCUCCCCCAGUCCUACCCCAGUUUUCCACAUAUCCCACCAUGUUCUAGCAAACACCCUCCAGACCUCUCAGCUUGCUUCCUAGCACAAACAUUGAACCUUUCUUUGGCCCAAUAUCGUUCCUGCUACCCACCUACCCCCUCCCCCACCCCCUGUAGCCUGUUCUGUUAACUCACAAACUCACUAGCUAGCCCUAACAUACAGUAGCACCUUCUCUGUCUGUUAUACCUGCCCUGAGAGCCCCAAAGAAUCUCAGAAUUUAUGACAGAUAACUCGAUGAUAUUUUUCUAAUAAUUUUAUUUCCUGUUUUUGAGAUGGUUACUACAGAUUUUUGAUACAGGGGUGCUGGUGUUUACUGCCCUGCCAUAUUGUACUCGUUUAUCACACACGAUGCGACAGGAUCCUCCAAGACACUAUUCAAUUCUUAUAUCCUAUAAAUAAAACAACCACAUGUAUAUUUUACAGCAAUCAAUUUAUCAUUGUGACGAUAGCAGAGGAACAUAGUAAAAAUGAUGGCAUGACUUCGUACAGAUGGCAGUAGUGCUUGCAGUGUGGUGCUUUGAAUAGUUUUGUAAAUCUUCGAGAGGAUGCGGCCAUUAGAGUAGAGCUAGCUUCAAGAUGUGAUGAAUGAAUGAUUGUGAGAAAAAGGGGUAAGAGAAAAUUUGCCACACAGCAUGUGGAAAAAAGGUUGUAAGUUCAGGAGCCUCUGAAAUAGAAAACUCCGUCUGUCCAGAGUGUAUAUAGAAAACAAUUUGCCAUUCUGCUCAUAAUCAUGACUGAGCUAGAUCAGGUAUUUUCUGAAAACACAGAGUUUGCAAAAUAAUUUUAACAUUCCCAAUCAUCUCAGGUUUUCUAGAAAUACUGAUCGGAGGAUUCACAAAUUUCUUCUGAUCCCAGGAAUCUUCCUACCAGGAUUUCCAGAAAUGCUGGGAAUUUAGGGAGUUACUGGGAGAUUUCACGCCAGGAUAGACCAAAAAUAUUUUGGGCUUCUCAGAUUGUUCUUGCAAUUCUCAAAUAAAAACUUAAUUGGAGGAAGGAUGUUUGACAUGCUUUUAUCAUUUGAAUAACUUUUUAGACCUUCAUGCCUCCUGUAAGACCCUAUGACCUGUGACCUGUGACCUGUGAAACGCACUCGAUACAGACAACACCUUGGUGUCAUCAUACUCCUCAUAGUGUGCUGUAGCAUAUAGAGGUUGUCUAGAUUCUGAAAUACAAUUUGUCACAUUCAUUUAUUCAACAUUAAACAUAUGAAUAUCCUUUUAGAUUUUGUUUAUUUUAAGACAUAUUGUUUGGGACAAUAUAAUCACAUUUCCAGAGUGGGCUCUCUGCAAAUGUUUAAGUUCUGCUAUAUUUUAUGAGCAUCAACAACACAGUGAAUGGGAAAAUGUAUUCUGCUGGUGAUUUGCUGAAUGUGCAAUCCUAAAGGAGGGCUGUGAUUGGUUAAUGACCUAUGAUGUCAAAUUCUAUAUAUAAAAUGGGUCAUAUCUUCAAAAGUACCAGAGAGCCACUCUGGAAAUGUCACGUGUUUGAAAAGUAUAUUGUUCCUAACUAUAUGGCUAAAAAUAAUUUUAAUAAAAAUAUAUAAACUUUUGAGAUAUUAACAUGUAUUUUUGUAUGUUUUAGAGCACACAAGGAGUAUAAUGACACAAAGACCAUGUAAGGUUCACAGAUUACAGACAUGUAUAUAUUUUUUAAUGGCCUAUAAUGACCUAUUUCAUCGCUAUUUAAAAAUAAAUUGUGAUACAAAUGUGAAAAGCAUGUGAAGCAUCCGUUCUCCCAAUGAUGUUUCUAUUUGAGAAUUGGCAGAAGAAUCUGAGAUAACAAAAAUCUUGGCAUGGAAUCGCCCUACUAGAAUUUUGCAAGCCUACACAGAACAUUAUGGAAUAUUCAAAUAACACCGUACGCUGGCCUUUUCAUGGUAUUUACCAUGGUCUUUUCAUGCUUCUUAUUUUGUGUAGAUUAAAGGGGAAUUUUUUUAAUAAUUGUGGAAAAAAAUAGGUUGUUGAUAUGAAAAAUAUAAAAAAAGAAGACAUGGAUGGAUGAAUUGAUUGAAAGAAUAUGUUUAUGGAUGGAUUGAUGCUGCCACUGACUGUGGUACAGCACAGCCUGCAUUGGGACAAUAAGCCUACUGCUCCAAACAAGAAACAGAGAGAGAAGGAAACUACAUCUUAGAAAAGCAAGAAGGAACAGGACUUCGAGGACGCAACAACAGCCAGAGAGAGAGACUCACACUAUGGACUAAACUAUCCGUCGGGUGGUAAAAUCUCUGGUUCUCACUAUCACUUAGAAAUAUGUCUCUUUUUAGUACGGUUCCCUAGUUACCAGGUAUUUACUUAUGUAUUCAAAGAGAAUUGAACAAAAUAACUGUGGUAAAAUGGCUGUAAUGAAAAAAAAAAAAUUUUUAAAAGGAAAAUGUUUUAUUUGUUAUAAUUUGCUUCAAUUAUACUUUAUGGUAUGAUAUGGUAUGAUAUGGUAUGAUAUGGUAUGAUAUGGUAUGAUAUGGUAUGAUAUGGUACACCAGGAAUCGUACAUGCAGACAGAGCACAUGAACUCACUUUUCCUUUAAUCAGAAAAAUAUUCAUUUUUUUAACUUCUGCAGUUAUGUUUUUAACCAAUACAACUAUAAGUAGUUCUGUUACUGAAACACUUUUUAUUGUUUUGCAAAAAAUAAAUAAAUAAAAUAUACUAGAAAUGUAUAUUAAAA
Oncorhynchus tshawytscha (Chinook salmon) is the source of this 3785-nucleotide long non-coding RNA. The record is from Ensembl. NCBI's taxonomy places the organism in Eukaryota, Metazoa, Chordata, Actinopteri, Salmoniformes, Salmonidae.